RNAcentral lists this small nuclear RNA (325 nucleotides) under Myotis davidii. Its description in RNAcentral is "7SK RNA". It matches the Rfam family "7SK RNA". From Rfam's summary of the family: 7SK was discovered as an abundant small nuclear RNA in the mid-70s but a possible function has only recently been suggested. Two independent studies have found that 7SK RNA binds the CDK9/cyclin T complex (known as elongation factor P-TEFb). P-TEFb activates transcription by phosphorylating the C-terminal domain of RNA polymerase II. The record is from Rfam by way of RNAcentral. Lineage: Eukaryota; Metazoa; Chordata; Mammalia; Chiroptera; Vespertilionidae.
GGAUGUGAGGGCAAUCUGGCUGCGACAUCUGUCACCCCAUUGAUCGCCAGGGUUGAUUUGACUGAUCUGGCUGACUAGGUGGGUGUCCCCCUCCUCCCUCACUGAUCCAUGUGCGUCCCUCCCGAAGCUACGUGCUUGGUCGAAGAGGACGACCUUCCUCCCCGAGGAGAGGACUAGUCUUCGGUCACGGGUAUAGGAGUAGCUGUGCUCCCCUGCUAGAGCCUCCAAACAAGCUCUCAAGAACACUUGUUCAUACGCUGCUUUAGCAGAGGAAGAUAGAAUACCGAUUAGGAGAGCAGGCUUUGCAGCUAAGAAGCCUGGGUUU